Molecule: ribosomal RNA, 624 nt
Filed under: uncultured bacterium
Lineage: Bacteria
Description: bacterial SSU rRNA
Rfam family: Bacterial small subunit ribosomal RNA
Source: RNAcentral
AAUACCCAAUGAUAUCUCUAGAAGACAUCUGAAGGAGAUUAAAGAUUUAUCGGUGAUGGAUGGGGAUGCGUCUGAUUAGCUUGUUGGCGGGGUAACGGCCCACCAAGGCAACGAUCAGUAGGGGUUCUGAGAGGAAGGUCCCCCACAUUGGAACUGAGACACGGUCCAAACUCCUACGGGAGGCAGCAGUGAGGAAUAUUGGUCAAUGGACGAGAGUCUGAACCAGCCAAGUAGCGAGCAGGAUGACGGCCCUAUGGGUUGUAAACUGCUUUUAUAAGGGAAUAAAGUGAGUCUCGUGAGAUUUUUUGCAUGUACCUUAUGAAUAAGGACCGGCUAAUUCCGUGCCAGCAGCCGCGGUAAUACGGAAGGUCCGGGCGUUAUCCGGAUUUAUUGGGUUUAAAGGGAGCGUAGGCCGGAGAUUAAGCGUGUUGUGAAAUGUAGAUGCUCAACAUCUGCACUGCAGCGCGAACUGGUUUCCUUGAGUACGCACAAAGUGGGCGGAAUUCGUGGUGUAGCGGUGAAAUGCUUAGAUAUCACGAAGAACUCCGAUUGCGAAGGCAGCUCACUGGAGCGCAACUGACGCUGAAGCUCGAAAGUGCGGGUAUCGAACAGGAUUAGAUACCC